CUCGUGAGGAAAAGCAGGGGAUCGCAAGACCUUGCGCUUUUGGAGCGGCCGAUGUCUGAUUAGCUAGUUGGUGAGGUAAAGGCUUACCAAGGCUUCGAUCAGUAGCUGGUCUGAGAGGACGACCAGCCACACUGGGACUGAGACACGGCCCAGACUCCUACGGGAGGCAGCAGUGGGGAAUUUUGGACAAUGGGGGAAACCCUGAUCCAGCCAUGCCGCGUGAGUGAAGAAGGCCUUCGGGUUGUAAAGCUCUUUCAGCCGGAACGAAAAGGUUACGGUUAAUACCCGUGACUAAUGACGGUACCGGAAGAAGAAGCACCGGCUAACUACGUGCCAGCAGCCGCGGUAAUACGUAGGGUGCGAGCGUUAAUCGGAAUUACUGGGCGUAAAGCGGCGCAGGCGGUUUUGUAAGUCAGAUGGAAGCCCCCUAAGACCAUGAGCUUGUG
This 446-nucleotide ribosomal RNA is filed under the name uncultured ammonia-oxidizing beta proteobacterium. Its description in RNAcentral is "bacterial SSU rRNA". It matches the Rfam family "Bacterial small subunit ribosomal RNA", at positions 193 to 618 of the family's 1533-position model. Lineage: Bacteria; Pseudomonadati; Pseudomonadota; Betaproteobacteria. The record is from RNAcentral.